RNAcentral lists this unclassified non-coding RNA (369 nucleotides) under Hevea brasiliensis (rubber tree). The record is from RNAcentral. Lineage: Eukaryota; Viridiplantae; Streptophyta; Magnoliopsida; Malpighiales; Euphorbiaceae.
UUUUUUUAAAAGAUUAGCUUUAUGGUUUUCUUGGUGGUCGCAGAAUAUCGAGUUUUUGGGGUGGACGGGGUUUUGUUUGAUUAUGGGUUUGAGCUGGAUUUUAUGCUUGAGUUUGGGUUUUGGAUUUCGUACUAGGACUUUGGUUAACAGUCGACACUUGGCCUUUUGGGUGGGUAAUUUUGUAUUUUUCUGUUAGAUUAUUCUUUGAAAUUUGGGGGAAAAUUUUGUGAGUUCUCAUGAGAUUGUUUUUAAAUUAUGAGUUUUAAUUACCAAUUUUGAGUCUUGCAGAUGGAAGAAUGUUCUGUAGUUGUAUGUGUGUGUGGUUUUUAUGCUUGAUUCUGGUUCAAAUUAUGAGGUUUUGAAUAUUUG